Molecule: long non-coding RNA, 214 nt
Filed under: Elaeis guineensis (African oil palm)
Lineage: Eukaryota; Viridiplantae; Streptophyta; Magnoliopsida; Arecales; Arecaceae
Description: long non-coding RNA (EGUI_LNC051452)
Source: RNAcentral
UGGCUGGAGGAUCGUUACCAUCAGAAUGGGAAGGCGAAAAUAGGCAUGCAAGCGGUACCUCCAUGCCCCUUGAACGUGCCCAUGUUUCAAACAAACAAGAAAUCUAGGUCAUCAUCAGAGCCGCAACUCGUGCCUCGAUCUCCACAAUGUUUGCUUGCAAGCACUCCUCCACCCAUUUGUUGAGCAUGUCCUCAAAUUGCUCCUAUGUCCAAUU